RNAcentral lists this ribosomal RNA (433 nucleotides) under uncultured bacterium. RNAcentral describes it as "partial 16S ribosomal RNA". It matches the Rfam family "Bacterial small subunit ribosomal RNA", at positions 29 to 507 of the family's 1533-position model. The record is from RNAcentral.
AACGAACGCUGGCGGCAUGCCUAACACAUGCAAGUCGAACGAGACCUUCGGGUCUAGUGGCGCACGGGUGCGUAACGCGUGGGAACCUGCCCUUAGGUUCGGAAUAACUCCCCGAAAGGGGUGCUAAUACCGGAUAAUGUCUUCGGACCAAAGAUUUAUCGCCUUUGGAUGGGCCCGCGUUGGAUUAGCUAGUUGGUAGGGUAAAAGCAUACCAAGGCGACGAUCCAUAGCUGGUCUGAGAGGAUGAUCAGCCACACUGGGACUGAGACACGGCCCAGACUCUUACGGGAGGCAGCAGUGGGGAAUAUUGGAAAAUGGGCGAAAGCCUGAUCCAGCAAUGCCGCGUGAGUGAUGAAGGCCUUAGGGUUGUAAAGCUCUUUUAACCGGGAUGAUAAUGACAGUACCGGGAGAAUAAGCUCCGGCUAACUCCGUG